RNAcentral lists this ribosomal RNA (371 nucleotides) under uncultured organism. RNAcentral describes it as "bacterial SSU rRNA". It matches the Rfam family "Bacterial small subunit ribosomal RNA", at positions 527 to 896 of the family's 1533-position model. The record is from RNAcentral.
CGGGGGGGCAAGCGUUGUUCGGAAUUACUGGGCGUAAAGGGCUCGUAGGUGGCCAACUAAGUCAGACGUGAAAUCCCUCAGCUUAACUGGGGAACUGCGUCUGAUACUGGAUGGCUUGAGUUUGGGAGAGGGAUGCGGAAUUCCAGGUGUAGCGGUGAAAUGCGUAGAUAUCUGGAGGAACACCGGUGGCGAAGGCGGCAUCCUGGACCAACACUGACACUGAGGAGCGAAAGCCAGGGGAGCAAACGGGAUUAGAUACCCCGGUAGUCCUGGCCCUAAACGAUGAAUGCUUGGUGUGGCGGGUAUCGAUCCCUGCCGUGCCGAAGCUAACGCAUUAAGCAUUCCGCCUGGGGAGUACGGUCGCAAGGCUG